CCCGAUCAAGUAAUCUGAGAUCUCGGCAAAUCUGGCCCGUCUUUACUCAUAUCUCGCCCUAUCUUCUUAUAUGAAAUUGAUUAUAGAAAUCAGAUUGAAUCAUCUGUUUGCUUCUGGUCACACCCUAUCAUCACCAGCAGCACCCUUCACCUUUUCUGCUCUGCUUCUGUAAAAUCGUUAUUUUCUCCACCUCUAUAUAGUCACAACACCCACCAGCGACCUACACUAUUACGUUGGUGCAAUGAAAGAAACACUCAUCACAUGUAAAGCCACACUCAUUCAAUAAGACCAACCCCCCUCAUAUCCCGUUUCAUUCAAAGUUUGAAACCCUAUCCCUUUCUCUCUCUGUAACCCUUUUCGUCUCACGACACCCUUCCACACUAUGCCUCCUUUUCCAUUCUGUAUGUGCUUUUUUUAUUAGAAGAAGAUGGUGAGUAGAAACAUUUUCCAGAAUCAACUUUGAUAUGGAAUGUGUUAUUUUUCUACAAUUGGUUUAAAAUGUGUGUGUGUGUGUGUGUUUUUUUUUGUGUUUACUUUCAGUUGAAUGAAGAAAGGUGAUGAAGGAGUUCAGAUCCUCAUGACACAUCUGAAGAUUGAUCCAGUAAGCAUCAUCUACGUCUUUCCAAUCAAUUUCUAUUUUUGUUUUUUUAUUUCUUACAAUUUAUCAUUUCUUUUGCUCCCCACAUGAGGCCUGGAGAAUGAAACACUUACUACAUAUAUCCAAGCCAAUAUGAUUGUCAGAACCAUCACUAAUGUUGGUGCUAUUAUAAGUGUAAAGCAUGAUCCUGAGAUUAAUAACCGCCUAUUUGCCAUUUGCUUAUCAUUCAUACACAUAGUUCAAACUAUUAGCUUUCUUAGGUUCGAAAUAUUCUUUCUAAUAUGUUUAUGUUUACAAUUUUCUUUUACAAUUUGUUAUCUCUCUUCUUUAUGAUUUGACAUAAGUGUUUGAAAAAGUAUUUUCAGAUCUAGAUGAAGAUGAACAAGAACGGGAAUGAAAAAGGGUUUAUAAUGCUUUUCAGAUUGCAUGAGGUAGCAAGGUAUUUUAUUUAUUUUUGAAAUGUAUUGAAGGAGUAAGUUGUUGUAUAUUAUGUAUGCAAGUUUUUUAAUGUUUUGUCUUUUCCGUGUCCUUUAAUUUGUAUUAUUAAAUUUAUAUUUCAAUUUUUUUCUAGCUAGAUAUUGUUGACUAAGAUAUGUUUGUUUUAGUUACUAUUUUAUUUUGUUGAGAUUUAGAUAAAUAUUGUUGAUGAGGAGGUUCUUUUUCAAGAAAAAGAAAAAACAGUGGCCAAGAAGCACCAGGUGUUGGCAAGGUUACUUUAGUCUUUGCUCAACUCUUAUUUGACUCUUCUGAAACACACACACAUAGAAAGACACAUUUAAGCUUCAUCCAUAUGUUUCUAUUAUACAUGUUUGGAUUUAUGUGUGUAUUUCCAUUUAAAUUCAAUGUGUAUACUUUUAACUACAAAUACUUACCUUGUAUCACACUUGGCAGACAUAAAUAUUCAAACGUGAGAUGGGGUAAAUGGAUCAAUUUGUUUUUUACUCAUAGAUCUGGUUUCUUUUUUGUCUCAGGGAUGAAGAUAGGGGAAGCCAAGAAAACAGGGCAUAAGAAAUAUGGAUGGUUGAGGUAAGGAUGGUGAUAUAUGAUGAAAACUACUCUUUUAAUUAAAUUUGGUAACACAUUUUAACAUGUGAGCGACAUCACUGCCAAAUUGAAGGCUAAUAGUAAUAGUACCAUCUUAACGUUCAAUGAAAUGCCUCUAGCAAAGACUCUUAGUCAGCAUGCUACUUAUAUGCAAAUCCAUUCAGCACACAUAUAUAGUGUAGAUAUGGUAUUUUUUAUCAUCCUUCAUAGGUUUACACUUGUGUAUCAUGUAUUUUCACUAGUUAUAUAUUCACUCCCAACAACACAUAAACAUUGAUUUAAAGGUAUGUGUAUGGUUAUUGGAUUGUAGAAACAGUUUGUAGUGACACAAUCCAGUGAAGCAAUUAUAGUUUCAAUAAAGAAACGGUAAAAAAAGCAACAACGAAGAAGGAAGAUGAAUCUUAGGUGCUGUUUGUUUUGGAAGUGGUUAAAUGUCUUUGUCUUUUUCCAAGUUUGCGGAAGAAGACGUGCACUUGCGAAACGUCUACCCGCCAGAAGGGAAAAGUGCUCAAAAAGUACUUUUGUAGAAAAACAAACGAGGCCUUAGUGUAGAUACUAAAUUUUUAUAACCAAUUUUUCUUUAUGUGAUUUUGAAUGACAAUAUUUUACAAAGUUUAGUGAUUUAUAAUAUAAAGUGAACAUUACAUGGAAUAGAAACAUUUUGAAGAUAAAUAGGAUUGAGAAAUUAUUUCAAGCAUGUAAGGCCAAAAAUAUAGUAGAGAUUGGGAAGACACCGACUAUUAAUAAUGUUGUUUUUUCUGUCAUGAAUCUCAAAGGUUAGUCGUGUUCGUUCAUGUCCUUCUUUGCUUCCAUCAAGUGGUAUCAAUCUGCAAAUAAAAUUAGAUUGAGUUUUACCAUGUGGCAACUCUAUAUUUUUUAUGUUUUCUUUUUCCAAUUUUCUGAUAUACUAUAUGAAAUUGAGAUGGUUUCAUAAACUCCUAAAAAAUAGGGUUGUUCCAUAUGUAAAAUUUAAUUAUUCAUAGUUUACUUUAUUUUUCUAUGUGGGUGCAAAACAUCUACAAAAUAAAUAGAUAUAAAAUAAGUUAAAAGUAAAAAUUACAUUAUCUAUGUUAUAUUAUUUAUAUAUGUUAUCAAGUAAUAAGAAAUAUAACAUUAAUAUCGAUGGAUAAAAAAGGUAAAUUGAAACUGUAUUACCAAACGAACAUGCUUUGAAAGAUGGAGAAAAUGUCAAAAUUACAUUCUUACUUAAAAUUAAAAUUUGGGACAAUUAAUAAAUCUACGUUUAUAAUUUGGCACAUUUAAUAAAUCUUUUUUUAUUCUAUCCAAGCAUUUUUAAAAGUUUUGGAUUUUGUUUUUUUAUAC
This 2965-nucleotide long non-coding RNA is filed under the name Lactuca sativa (garden lettuce). RNAcentral's name for it is "long non-coding RNA (LSAT_LNC006157)". Lineage: Eukaryota; Viridiplantae; Streptophyta; Magnoliopsida; Asterales; Asteraceae. The record is from RNAcentral.